This 445-nucleotide ribosomal RNA is filed under the name uncultured bacterium. Its description in RNAcentral is "bacterial SSU rRNA". It matches the Rfam family "Bacterial small subunit ribosomal RNA", at positions 338 to 795 of the family's 1533-position model. The record is from RNAcentral.
CCUACGGGGGGCAGCAGUGGGGAAUAUUGCACAAUGGGCGCAAGCCUGAUGCAGCGACGCCGCGUGAGGGAUGACGGCCUUCGGGUUGUAAACCUCUUUCAGUAGGGAAGAAGCGAAAGUGACGGUACCUGCAGAAGAAGCACCGGCUAACUACGUGCCAGCAGCCGCGGUAAUACGUAGGGUGCGAGCGUUAUCCGGAAUUAUUGGGCGUAAAGAGCUCGUAGGCGGUUUGUCGCGUCUGUCGUGAAAGUCCGGGGCUUAACCCCGGAUCUGCGGUGGGUACGGGCAGACUAGAGUGCAGUAGGGGAGACUGGAAUUCCUGGUGUAGCGGUGGAAUGCGCAGAUAUCAGGAGGAACACCGAUGGCGAAGGCAGGUCUCUGGGCUGUAACUGACGCUGAGGAGCGAAAGCAUGGGGAGCGAACAGGAUUAGAUACCCUGGUAGUC